Molecule: long non-coding RNA, 386 nt
Filed under: Nicotiana tabacum (common tobacco)
Lineage: Eukaryota; Viridiplantae; Streptophyta; Magnoliopsida; Solanales; Solanaceae
Description: long non-coding RNA (NTAB_LNC013068)
Source: RNAcentral
AGCGGAGUCCUAUAUCUAUACUAAAAAUCAACUAGGGAGUGGAGACCCUAUGUUGGCAGAAGGUGACUAAGGAGUGGAGACCCUAUGUCUAAAAUAAUCUCAACUAGGGAGUGGAGACCUUAUGUUGGCAAAAGGCGACUAGUGAGUGGAGACCCUAUGUCUAAAUCUCAACUAGGGAGUGGAGACCCUAUAUUGGCAAAAGGCGACUAGGGAGUGGAGACCCUAUGUCUAAAAUAAUCUCAACUAGGGAGUGGAGACACUAUGUUGGCAAAAGGCGACUAGGGAGUGGAGACCCUAUGUUUCAAAUCUCAACUAGGGAGUGGAGACCCUAUAUUGGCAAAAGUCGACUAGGGAGUGGAGACCCUAUGUAUAAAAUAAUCUCAACU